UACGAAGGGGGCUAGCGUUGCUCGGAAUUACUGGGCGUAAAGCGCACGUAGGCGGAUUGUUAAGUCAGGGGUGAAAUCCCGGAGCUCAACUCCGGAACUGCCUUUGAUACUGGCAAUCUAGAGUCCGGAAGAGGUGAGUGGAACUCCUAGUGUAGAGGUGGAAUUCGUAGAUAUUAGGAAGAACACCAGUGGCGAAGGCGGCUCACUGGUCCGGUACUGACGCUGAGGUGCGAAAGCGUGGGGAGCAAACAGG
Molecule: ribosomal RNA, 253 nt
Filed under: uncultured bacterium
Lineage: Bacteria
Description: partial 16S ribosomal RNA
Rfam family: Bacterial small subunit ribosomal RNA
Source: RNAcentral